This 411-nucleotide long non-coding RNA is filed under the name Nicotiana benthamiana. RNAcentral's name for it is "long non-coding RNA (NBEN_LNC034932)". Lineage: Eukaryota; Viridiplantae; Streptophyta; Magnoliopsida; Solanales; Solanaceae. The record is from RNAcentral.
CAAUGUACAGAGCUGGGAUUCAUAAUGCAGUUCUCAAUGUGAAAUCCUUAUUUCGUGGAUUCCACACCCUACUGAAGUUACCGCGAUGAGCAAAAAUCACGAAAUCUUAUUAUCUGUGGGCUCGUGUCUUUCUGUACCUAUUGUAAUUGCCAUGUGUCAGAGGUUUGAACUUACUGAUGAUGCAGACUUAUUUCAUGGAUUCCACACCCUACUGAAAUUACCGCUAUGAGCAAAAAUCAUGAAAUCUUAUUAUCUGUGGGCUCGUGUCUUUCUGUACCUAUUGUAAUUGCCAUGUGUCAGAGGUUUGAACUUACUGAUGAUGCAGAUAUGGAAUAUCUAUUGGGUUGCUAUAAGGAAAUUAUCUCUGAGCUACUCUCUGUUAAAAGAUUUGAUACCUUCCACCAGAGCUUA